UUCCGGUUGAUCCUGCCGGACCUGACUGCUAUCGGAUUGGUACUAAGCCAUGCGAGUCAUUGUAGCAAUACAAGGCGGACGGCUCAGUAACACGUAGUCAACCUAACUCGUGGACGCGGAUAACCUCGGGAAACUGAGAAUAAACCGCGAUAGAUCAUUAUGCCUGGAAUGGCUUAUGGUCUAAACAGUUUACUGGCAUGGGAUGGGACUGCGGCCUAUCAGCUUGUUGGUGAGGUAAUGGCCCACCAAACCUAUAACCGGUACGGGCUCUGAGAGGAGAAGCCCGGAGAUGGGCACUGAGACAAGGGCCCAGGCCCUAUGGGGCGCAGCAGGCGCGAAACCUCUGCAAUAGGCGAAAGCCUGACAGGGUUACUCUGAGUGAUUUCCGCUAAGGGGAUCUUUUGGCACCUCUAAAAAUGGUGCAGAAUAAGGGGUGGGCAAGUCUGGUGUCAGCCGCCGCGGUAAUACCAGCACCCCGAGUGGUCGGGACGAUUAUUGGGCCUAAAGCAUCCGUAGCCGGUUCUGCAAGUCUUCCGUUAAAUCCAGCCGCUCAACGAUUGGGCCGCGGAGGAUACUACAGGACUAGGAGGCGGGAGAGGCAAGCGGUACUCAGUGGGUAGGGGUAAAAUCCUUUGAUCCAUUGAAGACCACCAGUGGCGAAGGCGGCUUGCCAGAACGCGCUCGACGGUGAGGGAUGAAAGCUGGGGGAGCAAACCGGAUUAGAUACCCGGGUAGUCCCAG
Molecule: ribosomal RNA, 741 nt
Filed under: uncultured archaeon
Lineage: Archaea
Description: bacterial SSU rRNA
Rfam family: Archaeal small subunit ribosomal RNA
Source: RNAcentral